UACGUAUGGCGCAAGCGUUGUCCGGAAUUAUUGGGCGUAAAGAGCUCGUAGGCGGUUUGUCGCGUCUGCUGUGAAAACUCGAGGCUCAACCUCGGGCUUGCAGUGGGUACGGGCAGACUAGAGUGCGGUAGGGGUGACUGGAAUUCCUGGUGUAGCGGUGGAAUGCGCAGAUAUCAGGAGGAACACCGAUGGCGAAGGCAGGUCACUGGGCCGCAACUGACGCUGAGGAGCGAAAGCAUGGGGAGCGAACAGG
RNAcentral lists this ribosomal RNA (253 nucleotides) under uncultured bacterium. RNAcentral's name for it is "partial 16S ribosomal RNA". It matches the Rfam family "Bacterial small subunit ribosomal RNA", at positions 524 to 776 of the family's 1533-position model. The record is from RNAcentral.